GCUGUUUCCAGGCUUCUUGAACCACCAAGCACUGGGAGGGAGAAUGAAUAUUUUAUAAAAGGUCAUAAAACAUAAUCUGUUACUUUGAGUGAAUUAGAGUCUGUAGUUAAAAAAAGAGAGAAGUUGCCAUCAGUAGACCAGGAGUUCUGCAUUAUUUAGCCCCAGCUAUUCCAUCACAUCAGUAAAGCAGGAGAACCAGAACAUUAAAAUCACACCCUUUGCUCCUGAGGAAGGGAAGUAACAUCCUGGAGGUCCACUUCAUACCACUUGGACUUACUUGGCAGGGGACGGUGGCUCUCUGUCUGGAGUGUGCUUGGGAGGAGGGGGCAUAGAUUUCUGCACCCCUACUAACACAGUACCUUACAGAGAACUUUUCUGAGAUCUUGGCUUCCCACCCUAUUUUAGGAUCUGUCUUAUUCAACAGUGUUCUCUAAUUGCUUCUCUUUUACAGCACUAGGCUCUGCCAAAUUUCUGAUCCUAGGGGAAAACCAAAAGUCAUUUUACUUUUGUUUGGAUGCAAAAUGAUUUAACUUCCUUUGCCUUAAGCACUCCAUCACAAACUACAGCCUGGACCUCACCAUUCCUAAUCAUAAAAUCCUCUAGCUUGUUUUCAGAACUGAUGGAGCAUGCUACCCCAUGGACUCCACAGAUAGCAAAAUAAUCCAUAGACAUAAACUUUGAAACUACAAUUCCUUUAACUGUGUCAAGGAUUUCAGAUCAACCUCUUCACAGAUCAAAGAAUAUACACUUCACUCCAGUGGUAGAAGAGGCAGAAAAAUAUCUUCUCCAUCUUUCCAGAACAUACCCUGAGAGUCAUUUUUGUUGUUGUUGUUGUUGUUGUUGUUCUUCUUCUUCUUCUUCUUUCUCCUUCUCCUUCUCCUUCUCCUUCUCCUUCUCCUUCUUAUUCUUUCAUUACCAGACUGGCUUUUGGUAACUCUUUCCCUCAUGCUUACUAUUUGGGGGCCAUAUCUACAAUGACAUGUGGCUUUCUGUGUCUUGCCUGGCUUACCUUCCCUCUGCCAUCCAACCCCUUCCCUCCCACAUACAUAUACACACACUCAUGUUCACAUUUGCAGUUAUAUAGGAUCUGGUUUUAUUCCAUCAGUGCCUUGAGAAGAAUGGUGUUAUCAAAGAUGAAGGAAGAUGCUCUGGACCUUGUGGGAUUCUUUAUAUUACCUGCUUAGCAACCAACCCUAUCUCUGCAUAGGCUGCACACUCUCCUCAUCUCUUCUUUCUGAUUGCUUUCUCCUCCUCCUGUUCCUUAUUGUUCCUCACCAACUAACAUGACGAGCACCUGUUAUAUAUAUAUAUAUGAAGGCUAUUGUUCUAGACCAGGGGAAAAAAAUGACAGGACGCUUGUCCUCACAAGGAUUGGAGUCUAUGGGAACAUAUGCUUCUCCUGAUCUGCCACUUCACCCUAAAAGAGUUUGCUAUUUAUAACCCAUAGAGUAGGUAAAUCCUAAUGAGCAGGGAAUUCAGAGAUCCUGGAUUCCGAUCACCAUUGCUGUAAGACCACGGAAAAGUCAUUUACUCCUUCUAAGGUCCAAUUCUGUCAGCAAAUUAAGGCAGUUGAGUGAGGUAAUACUGUCACUCUUAAGGAUUGGUUCCUAUGAUUUAAUUUUCUCAAAUUAUGCCCUACAGUACAUGAAGAUCUCAAACGUAAGGUUUGGUGAAAAGUGAGGUUCUAUGUUUGAAUCUACUUGGAAAAUAUUAGGUUAAAUAAUGUUAAGGAACAUAUCAGAGGCUUUAAUAUUCUAAUGUCUAUUGUGAACCUCUCUGAAUUAAAGUAGCAGAUUCCCAAAUGCAUUUAAUUGAAGAGUGUCCAUGUGUGUAAAUAUCUAUUAACAUGAUGCAGAACUAGAAUUGUAUAGAACACAGUUUGCUAAUGAAAAAAGCAGAAUGCCUGCAACAUCAGGCUGCUUACAUUUGCAGACUUCUCGGUACCCACUUGCUCUGCCACCUGGGGGAUUAUUUAACUUUUCUGUACUUCAGUUUUCUUGUGUGCCUAAGAAAAUUAGGGAAAGUUCCUAUCUCACGGCUCUUAGAAAAGUGGUUGGAAUACAGUAAGCAUUCAGUAAAUGCUUAUACUCAGCUAUUGUUAUCUUUGGUGAGUAUUAAAAUAUUAACAAAAAGCAUUUACUUUUUAAAAAAGAUUUUGUUUAUUUAUUGGAGAGAGAGAGUGAGUGAGUGAGUGAAAGAGAGCACAAGCAGGAGGAGGAGCAGAAGGAGAAGGAGAGGC
Molecule: long non-coding RNA, 2239 nt
Filed under: Canis lupus familiaris (dog)
Lineage: Eukaryota; Metazoa; Chordata; Mammalia; Carnivora; Canidae
Description: lncRNA (ENSCAFG00845030452.1)
Source: RNAcentral